UUGGCCGCCGCCCCCCUGCCCAUCUCCUCCUCUCUCAAUUCUUGCAGCCACCAAACCCUAGCCCCCCCCCUCUCAAUCCCCUCCUCCCAAGGUGCCAAUCCUUGCCGCUCGGAUCAUCGUCGUCGUGGUGCGAGUCUUCAAUCGUUUUGGUGGAGAGAAGAAGGGAGGAAGGAAAGGGGGAGAAUCCAAGGUGAUUUUUGUGUUCAUCCCUUGUUCAUUUGCGCUGCAAUUUAAUUGAUUAGAGGUUGCGUUUGCGAUUGGGGUAGAGGGGGGCUGUCCAGAAUUUUAGGUGGUGGGUGAACAGCAGUAGUCAAGCAGUUUCUGUGUUUUUUUCGUGAGGAAUUAAGGGAAAUCAGUUUGGGGAUCAUGUAGAACUUUACCUUACCUUUCCAACGAGUAUUUAUGCGCUCAAUUUGGAGUUAUAAAUUGAAAGUUAUCACCGUUUGAAUCCGGGUAUGUGGCUGUCCAAAAAAACAGAUUUUUCAGGGGGAUGAACAGCAGCAGUAUUAGCAGUUUCUGGGAAUUUUUCGUGGGUAAUUAGUGUUAAUCAGUAUGAGAAUCAUGUAGGUCUUUAUGUUAUCUUUCCAACAAGUACUUAUGCGCUCGAUUCGGAGUUAUAAUUCAGGAGAUAUCGUUGUUUGAAUCCGGUUAUGUUGCUGUCCAAAAAAACAGAUUUUUCAGGUGGGUGAACAGCAGUGGUAUUAGCAGUUUCUGGGAAUUUUUCAUGGGUAAUUAGUGUUAACCAGUAUGGUAAUCAUGUAGGGAUUUGUCUUAUCUUUCCAAUGAGUACUUAUGCGCUUGAUUUGGAAUUAUAUUUUAAAAGAUAUCGCUGUUUGAAUCUGGGUAUGUCGCUGUCCAAAAGACAAAGAAAAACAGAUUACAGGGUUCAUCUUGUGGACUGUUUUGGGCUAAUUAGAUAUUGGAAUUUAAUUAUAAAUUUUAUACAAAACUUGUGGGGAAUUUUAUGUAGAUGCCUCUGGAGUUUUUGUUUGUUACCACUGCUAUCAUAAUUUUAAAGUUAUGAAAUUAUUAAGCAGCGCCGCUGCAGUUUGGUGGGUGUAGGGAGAGAUGUAACCCGCGGCGGGGUUUGAGUUUGUGCGUAGGUGCGGCGUCGCUUAUGAGCCUGAUUAUGUGAAAGUGGUGUAGUAAGUUGGGUGUCAAAAACAGGUGGUAGACUUCCGGAUUGUACUUAGGGAUUUGCCCGAACUUCUGGUAAAGGCAAGUAAAUACAGUGGUGGUUGCUACCGUUUGGUUUGCAUCCUAUUCCCUGUCAUUGAGUAUGCAUAAGUUUUAAUUAUGUUAAUCAUUGAAUUCUAUGAUGAAGUUUAUUUGUUUGGAAGUAUUAAUUCUCAAUUGUCUAAUAUUGUGGAUGAUCAUAAUUUGGUAAUGAUAUAUGUGGUUGAUUCCCAUCUGGAUGAAGUUGAAGUGUCUUUUUGAAUCAUGUUAUAUGAAGUGUUGUAGGCAUGACAUGCACAUCGCAUCAUCCAUCUUGCAUUUUGAAGUUAUGUCGUGAUCUUAUGGUCCGACCGUACCGGUACAUUUUUAGCAUCGUACGUUGCCCGAGGAGGGGUACGAUGCGGCUUCAUAUCCUUAGAGGUAUGAAGGCAGAAGUUAUCCUUGCAUUUGCAGACAUUUGCACUCAUGAGGAAUAUAUGAAGUGUGACAUUACUAUGUUACUAUUGUGGUUUCUACCUGCGAGGUGUGGUAACUAGGUGCGUUGUACGUUGUAUACGUGCUGCACCUUCGUAAUAAGAAGGUUGUGGAAUUAAGUGGUGGUAAAACAAUGUUCUUAUGUGGUUAAACUGUUUGAUAUUAUUUUACUUGCUGAGAUGUGUCAUCUCACUCUUGCAUUACUCAAUGCAGGUACUUGAUACAUGUUGGGAAUGAG
This 1888-nucleotide long non-coding RNA is filed under the name Zea mays. RNAcentral describes it as "long non-coding RNA (ZMAY_LNC002233)". The record is from RNAcentral. Lineage: Eukaryota; Viridiplantae; Streptophyta; Magnoliopsida; Poales; Poaceae.